AUGAAUCACUAGGGGAGUCUUAAACAGACUGAGACAGAUAUGUUCUGGACCCUUUGAACUUGAUCCAGUUAGUGCUGGCGUAAGGAAGUGGCUGAAUUUAUGA
RNAcentral lists this non-coding RNA (103 nucleotides) under Heyndrickxia shackletonii. RNAcentral describes it as "Bacillus shackletonii TPP sequence". It matches the Rfam family "TPP riboswitch aptamer (THI element)". From Rfam's summary of the family: Vitamin B(1) in its active form thiamin pyrophosphate (TPP) is an essential coenzyme that is synthesised by coupling of pyrimidine and thiazole moieties in bacteria. The previously detected thiamin-regulatory element, thi box was extended, resulting in a new, highly conserved RNA secondary structure, the THI element, which is widely distributed in eubacteria and also occurs in some archaea. Lineage: Bacteria; Bacillati; Bacillota; Bacilli; Caryophanales; Bacillaceae. The record is from Rfam by way of RNAcentral.